AUACUUACUGGGUAGAAGAGGCACCAUGAUCAGGCAGAUGGUUUUCCCAGGACUAGGCUCAUCCCCUGCAUUCCAGGUGUGCUGACUCCUUUAUAACUCAAUGUCAUUAGAGUACAUUGUGC
Molecule: small nuclear RNA, 122 nt
Organism: Pavo cristatus (Indian peafowl)
Lineage: Eukaryota; Metazoa; Chordata; Aves; Galliformes; Phasianidae
Gene: U1
Rfam family: U1 spliceosomal RNA
About the family: U1 is a small nuclear RNA (snRNA) component of the spliceosome (involved in pre-mRNA splicing).
Source: Ensembl